RNAcentral lists this ribosomal RNA (1704 nucleotides) under Triticum aestivum (bread wheat). RNAcentral's name for it is "partial small subunit ribosomal RNA". The record is from RNAcentral. Lineage: Eukaryota; Viridiplantae; Streptophyta; Magnoliopsida; Poales; Poaceae.
AUGGCGAGCCCAUGGGGCAGCCCCUCGAGCAGCCUGUGGGUCACGCUGGGUCAGGCCUCCAACGUGGCGCAGCUAGUCGGCGUGGACGCGCUCGGGCUAAUCUCCAUGGUCGUGCAGGCCGCCCUGGCUGCGCGCCGCCACCGGGACGCCUGCAUGCAGCUCGCGCAGCACGUCGAGCUCGUCGGCGGCUUGCUGAAGGAGCUGGAGCUCGCCGAUCUGAUGCGGCGGGAGGCCACCAGGCGGCCGCUGGAGCAGCUCCGCGGCGCGCUGCGGCGGUGCUACGCGCUCGUGACCGCGUGCCAGGACUGCAGCUACCUCCGCCGCCUGCUCCUCGGCGCACGGAUGGGCAACGAGCUCCGCGCCGCGCAGCACGAGAUCGAUAUGUUCAUCCGCCUCAUCCCGCUCAUCGCCCUCGUCGACAAUUCUACAAACACUCAUCGUAUCCAGGAAGCUGCGGAGCAGGUCGACGGUAUAUUCAUAGAAGGUUCAAACCACCGUGUCAGGUUUGCAGCAAGAGUUUUAGAUAUUACUGAGAUACGUGUCCAAGGAGCUCGCAAACUCUGCAAUGUUCGGGAACAUCCGUCACUAGGAAUUGUAGGCACGCAAGAACAGAAAACCCUCGACAACAAAGAACUAGUGAAGCUUUGUAUGCUCACGGUAGAAAAUUACCCAGGAUUCACAGAGUUCAGCUACUUUCAAAUCAUGGAUGCUACAGAUAAUUUCUCAGAGAAGAGAUAUCUUGGGUCUGGUGGAUUUGCAACAGCAUACAAGGGUCAGUUGCCCCAAGGAUUUGUGGUUGGCAUCAAAAGAUUCGAUCACCGUGCAACAUUAUCUGAUUUCAGCAAUGAAUUGCAGCUUGCUAGGCUUCAGUAUACCAAUAUAAUAAGGUUACUGGGGUGGUGCAUCCAUGGAAAAGAAAGGAUUCUGAUCUACAAGUUCAUGCAGAAUGGUUCCUUGGACCGUCACAUAUUUGACAGGAUAAAAGGACCGUUGCUAGAUUGGUCUAAGAGACUCAAAAUAAUCAAGGGGUUGGUAGAGGGGCUUGUUUACCUGCACAAACACUCAAUGUUACAUAUUGUCCAUAGGGACUUGAAACCAAAUAACAUUCUCUUGGAAUAUGACAUGACCCCAAAGAUUUGUGAUUUUGGAUCAGCGAAAACACUGUGUUCAGACAUAACAGAAGAGCACACAAGCAGGGUGGUGGCCACUAGUGGUUACAUUGCUCCAGAGUAUGCAUCUCGAGGAGUUUACUCACUGAAGACAGAUGUCUUCAGCUUUGGCAUCUUGGUUCUGGAGACCAUUAGCGGACGAAAGAACACUGUACUCGACAAGCGAGGGGAUACUGUUGGCGAUCUUGUACGAGAUGCCUGGCAUAUGUGGAAGGACCAAAGGUUGCGUGAGCUUGUGGAUCCGUCUCUAGGGAACGGAUACGACAUCGCCGAGAUAACGCGAUGUGCUCAGGUGGCACUGCUCUGUUCUCAGGAAGAUCCAGCAGAUCGGCCCACCAUGACUGACAUAGCUGCAAUGCUGAGCUCUGAAAGCAUGAGGCUACCAGUGGAGCCUAAGCGGCCUUACGUGCUGAGUGAAGGGGGUGCUGGUGAAGAUACAUACAUAAACCAAUCAAGCCGGACAAUAGACAUAACCAUAACGAGUUCAGCCACAGUGCUGACUAGAGUUCGAAUCAUCGUAGACCCGGAGGUUUGA